GAUGAACGCUAGCGGCAGGCCUAACACAUGCAAGUCGAGGGGGAAGUUACUUUCGGGUGACUGAGACCGGCGUACGGGUGCGUAACGCGUAUACAAUCUGCCUUUCACUGGGGGAUAGCCCGAAGAAAUUUGUAUUAAUACCCCAUAGUAUAUAGGGACGGCAUCGUUUUUAUAUUAAAGCUUAGGUGGUGAAAGAUGAGUAUGCGUUCUAUUAGCUAGUUGGAGAGGUAACGGCUCCCCAAGGCGAUGAUAGAUAGGGGUUCUGAGAGGGAUGUCCCCCACACUGGUACUGAGAUACGGACCAGACUCCUACGGGAGGCAGCAGUGAGGAAUAUUGGACAAUGGUCGGAAGACUGAUCCAGCCAUGCCGCGUGCAGGAUGAAGGUCUUAUGGAUUGUAAACUGCUUUUGUAAGGGAAGAAUAAGGGCUACGCGUAGUUUGAUGACGGUACCUUACGAAUAAGCAUCGGCUAACUCCGUG
Molecule: ribosomal RNA, 480 nt
Filed under: uncultured bacterium
Lineage: Bacteria
Description: partial 16S ribosomal RNA
Rfam family: Bacterial small subunit ribosomal RNA
Source: RNAcentral